This 310-nucleotide unclassified non-coding RNA is filed under the name uncultured fungus. RNAcentral describes it as "partial contains 5.8S ribosomal RNA and internal transcribed spacer 2". The stretch from base 1 to 133 matches the Rfam family "5.8S ribosomal RNA", at positions 22 to 154 of the family's 154-position model. Lineage: Eukaryota; Fungi. The record is from RNAcentral.
UGGCUCCAGCAUCGAUGAAGAACACAGCGAAAUGUGAUAAGUAAUGUGAAUUGCAGACUUCAGUGAAUCAUCGAAUCUUUGAACGCACAUUGCGCCCCCUGGUAUUCCGGGGGGCAUGCCUAUCCGAGCGUCGGUACCCCCCUCAAGCGUCCAGCUUGGUCUUGGGCCAUGCCUCUGGGCAAGCCCUAAAUCCAGUGGCGACCCAGCCCGCCCCCCUCGCGUGGUAACCCUGCCGCGAGGGGGGCGGGUCGGGGCCGGCCAGCAAGCCCCCUCUCUCGUUGACCUCGGAUUAGGUAGGAAUACCCGCUGA